UAGGGAAUAUUGCACAAUGGGGGAAACCCUGAUGCAGCGACGCCGCGUGAGUGAUGAAGGCCUUCGGGUCGUAAAGCUCUGUCGUAUGGGAAUAACAAAAUGAAUGUACCAUGCAAGAAAGGAUCGGCUAACUUCGUGCCAGCAGCCGCGGUAAGACGAGGGAUCCUAGCGUUGUUCGGAAUCAUUGGGCGUAAAGCGGGUGUAGGCGGACUUAUAAGUCAGGUGUGAAAUCCCAGGGCUCAACCCUGGAAGUGCACUUGAUACUGCAAGUCUUGAGUGUGGUAGAGGCUAUUAGAAUUCUUGGUGUAGUGGUGAAAUACGUAGAUAUCAAGAGGAAUACCGGAGGCGAAGGCGGAUAGCUGGGCCAACACUGACGCUGAGACCCGAAAGCGUGGGGAUCAAACA
RNAcentral lists this ribosomal RNA (405 nucleotides) under uncultured Bdellovibrio sp. RNAcentral describes it as "bacterial SSU rRNA". It matches the Rfam family "Bacterial small subunit ribosomal RNA", at positions 355 to 774 of the family's 1533-position model. Lineage: Bacteria; Pseudomonadati; Bdellovibrionota; Bdellovibrionia; Bdellovibrionales; Pseudobdellovibrionaceae. The record is from RNAcentral.